Molecule: ribosomal RNA, 405 nt
Filed under: uncultured bacterium
Lineage: Bacteria
Description: bacterial SSU rRNA
Rfam family: Bacterial small subunit ribosomal RNA
Source: RNAcentral
CAAGGAAUCUUGCGCAAUGGGCGAAAGCCUGACGCAGCGACGUCGCGUGGGGGACGAAGGCCUUCGGGUUGUAAACCCCUUUUAUCGGGGAAGAAAAAUGACGGUACCCGAUGAAUAAGUCUCGGCUAACUACGUGCCAGCAGCCGCGGUAAUACGUAGGAGGCGAACGUUAUUCGGAUUUACUGGGCGUAAAGAGGGCGCGGGCGGCACUCUAAGUCGGGUGUGAAAUCUCCUGACUCAAUCAGGAUGGGUCAUCCGAUACUGGAGAGCUAGAGGGCAGCAGAGGGAGGUGGAAUUCCCGGUGUAGCGGUGAUAUGCGUAGAUAUCGGGAGGAACACCAGAGGCGAAGGCGGCCUCCUGGGCUGUACCUGACGCUGAGGCCCGAAAGCGUGGGGAGCAAACCGG